This 253-nucleotide ribosomal RNA is filed under the name uncultured bacterium. RNAcentral describes it as "partial 16S ribosomal RNA". It matches the Rfam family "Bacterial small subunit ribosomal RNA", at positions 524 to 776 of the family's 1533-position model. The record is from RNAcentral.
UACGAAGGGGGCUAGCGUUGUUCGGAAUUACUGGGCGUAAAGCGCACGUAGGCGGGUUUGUAAGUAGGGGGUGAAAUCCCAGAGCUCAACUCUGGAACUGCCUUCUAAACUGCAAGCCUGGAGGUCAGGAGAGGCGAGUGGAAUACCGAGUGUAGAGGUGAAAUUCGUAGAUAUUCGGUGGAACACCAGUGGCGAAGGCGACUCGCUGGACUGAUACUGACGCUGAGGUGCGAAAGCGUGGGGAGCAAACAGG